This 3348-nucleotide unclassified non-coding RNA is filed under the name Lucilia cuprina (Australian sheep blowfly). Its description in RNAcentral is "mannosyl-oligosaccharide alpha-1,2-mannosidase IA, transcript variant X6". The record is from RNAcentral. Lineage: Eukaryota; Metazoa; Arthropoda; Insecta; Diptera; Calliphoridae.
UUUUCUUAAAAUAGUUUGUUAAAAAGUUACCACCUUUAUCCAAUAAAUAGUUUUACAAACAAGCACUUCAAAUAAGUUUAAUGAAGAUCAAUUAUUAAAUAAUAUAUUAUUAGUGUAAAAAAGCUUUACUUACCAAAAUAAAUAAAAUAACAGAAAAUUCGUAAAAAUACAUAUUAAAAAAAUUAUUUUAAUUAAAUACAACUAGAAGAUCAAUCAAAAUUCAUUAAGAAAUAAUAAAUAAAAAUAAAAUUACUUAAGAAAAAGAAAAAUUUAAACAAAUUAUGUUAAUAAAUAUUGUGCCUUAACAGAAAAAAUUAAAAACCUAAAAUAAGCUUUUGCGUGAGUGUUUCUUGAUCAUAAUAAUUUGUCGUCAUAUCAAACAACGUCGUCGUCACCAAAACGUCCAUAAGUACAACAACAAAAACGUCUUUUCUUUUGUUCCUGUAAUACAAACACAUACAUAGACAACAAUACAACCAUAACGACGACGACGGACGAAGGAAUACGGUUGCGCCAAACAAUGUGCACAAAAAAAUGUUUUCGCAUGCCAACGUUAGUCAUAUUCGGUGUCAUUCUCACAAUCGUCUUAGUCUUCAUUACCGGCAUCACACUAACCAACAGUAUUAAUAUUUCAAAUAUUGUCAAGCUGCGCGAAAAAGUUGCUAGUGAUUCAGCUGCAGCCAAUAGUGUCAAUGCAGCACAAACGAGAGCAGCUUUGGUGGAGCAACAGUAUUCGACAUUGCAACAGCAUCAUUUGUCACGAAGUGAUUUAAAUUAUAUAACAGCUAAUCAUCCAAAAAAUUUACAACGUUUCCUGCAAACGUCUCAAAAUCAACAGCCAUCAGCACAGCCGCCGCCCCUGCAACAUUUACCACCACCAGCUCAACAACCAGCAGUUGGCGCGGCAGCAAAUAGCAACAACAACAACAAUAAUAAUAAUAACAAUAAUAAAAUAAUAAUUGAAAUUGGCAUACGUAAUUUUACAGCUGCAGCUGCUGCCGCUGCUGUGGCAGCACAUCGAGAACAGCAACAACAAUUGCUACAAACAAAUAAUCGUUCCUUGUCUUCAGCAUCAGCAUCAACAUCAGCAUCAUCGACAUCUUCAGCGUUGUCUUCCUUUGAUAGUAAUCAAACAUUAGUGGAAAGAAAUGUGGUUAGUGCGGCUGGUGCAGCCACAAUUGUUGAACAGUUAGUGGCGCCUUUUGAUGGCGCCAUUAUUGAUGGUAAUAUAGAAUCCAUAUCAGUGCCAGCCACUUCGGAAAUUCGGCAACAAUUAAAUGAAACUUUGAAAUAUUUAGCCGAAAAUGACAAAACGGUGACAUCUCUUGAAAAUAAAAAUUCCUUAAUGUUAAAUCGAUUACCUCCGCUGAACCAUAGUAGUACCAUAACAACCACAACAUUAAAACCAUUAAAUUCCAGCUCGAAUGCAACAGUAACUUCAACUCCAUUUUCAAUAUCAUCAAAUUUAACAUUAAAUGCUACGGCAACUUCAUCAUCAUUAGUGGCAACAACUAAAAGCUUUUUAAAUAAUUCCUUAAAUUCUUCAACAACAUCAUCAAAUGUUGCCGUAUCCACUUUGUCAUCGACAACAACAUCAGUUCCAGCAUUACCUGCUGAUACUGACUCAACAGCGACAAGUACCCUAACAACAACAACAACUACACCAAUAACUCCAGCAUUAACGGCUGCUUUAACUACAGCAGCAAAUCAAUUAAGCAUUGAAGAUCAUAAUCCCGGCAUGAUUGAUUUCGAAAAACGUAAUUAUGUUAAAGAGAUGAUGCAACAUGCCUGGCAAAAUUACAAACUUUAUGCCUGGGGCAAAAACGAACUGAGACCGCUGUCCCAACGAGCCCAUAGUAGUAGUAUUUUCGGCUCAAUGGAUCUUGGAGCUACAAUUAUUGAUGGCCUUGACACUCUCUACCUAAUGGGUUUGGAGAAAGAAUAUAAAGAGGGUAGAGAUUGGAUUGAACGUAAAUUCACCUUAGACAAUGUGAGUGCUGAUUUGUCGGUAUUCGAAACGAAUAUACGUUUCAUUGGUGGUCUCCUAACAAUGUAUGCCUUUACGGGUGAUAAUCUUUAUAAGGAGAGAGCCCAACAUGUAGCCGAUAAACUAUUACCUGCCUUUCAGACACCAACUGGUAUACCAUAUGGUUUGGUAAAUCCUAAAACUGGUUUGAGUAAAAAUUACGGUUGGGCUUCCGGUGCAAGUUCUAUACUCUCUGAAUUUGGUACUCUACAUUUAGAAUUUAGUUAUUUAAGUGAUAUUACCGGUAAUCCUUUAUACAAGGAGAGAGUACAAACCAUUAGACAAAUAUUGAAAGAGAUCGAAAAACCCAAAGGUUUAUAUCCCAAUUUUUUGAAUCCUAAAACUGGUAAAUGGGGUCAAUUACACAUGUCCUUGGGUGCUUUGGGUGAUAGUUUCUAUGAAUAUUUACUUAAAGCCUGGCUUCAGUCCGGUCAAACCGAUGAAGAGGCCCGACAAAUGUUUGAUGAAGCCAUGGUUGCCAUUAUUGAUAAAAUGGUACGCACUAGUCCUAAUGGUUUGACUUAUGUUUCCGAUUUGAAAUUCGAUCGUUUGGAACAUAAAAUGGAUCAUUUAGCUUGUUUUUCAGGUGGUCUCUUUGCUUUGGGUGCUAACACCAGACAAAAUGAACACACUGAAAAGUUUAUGAACAUUGGUAAGGGCAUCACGAAUACUUGCCACGAAAGUUAUAUACGAUCAACUACACGUUUAGGACCAGAAGCAUUCCGCUUUAGUGAAGCCGCCGAGGCUCGUGCCUUGAAAUCGAAUGAAAAAUACUACAUUUUAAGACCCGAAACUGUGGAAAGUUACUUUGUGCUCUGGCGUUUGACACACGAUCAAAAGUAUCGUGACUGGGGUUGGGAUGCUGUACAAGCAUUAGAGCAACAUUGUCGUACACCACACGGUUAUUCGGGCAUUAAGAAUGUCUAUCAAGAAGUACCACAAAAGGAUGAUGUACAACAAAGUUUCUUCUUAGCUGAAACUCUUAAGAUAUUUGCAUUUGGAUAACAUAAGAGAAAACGAUACUAUGAGGGUACAAUUUCUCGAAUUUUCUAUGGAUAUUCAUUUUGGAGCAAAUUGAAAGAUAUAUACUUUUCAAAGGGCUAAAGAAAUGAACGAAAUCAGACGUAACUUUAAAGAUAUAUACAUACUAGAUGCAAUCAUAUACUGGAGAUGCGAUUAUAACAAUUGUUUUUGGAUACAUUACUUAGAUCUACAAAAAAUGCCGUCAAAUAUAUACACAUUACAUGUUUUUAAGAUAAUCUUUAAAAAAAGUUUACUAAAAUUAUAAAAAUCAUAUAAUAAAAAUUAAGAGGAAAACGUUA